GACGAAGCGGGCAAAGACGCGCGGCACAGCGAGAGGCGCGCGUAACACCGGCGGCCGGGGACCGGGCGGCCCCCACGCCCGCCCUGUUUGGAUCUGGUCAGGACGAACGCUGGCGGCGUGCCUAAUACAUGCAAGUCGAGCGGACAGAUGGGAGCUUGCUCCCUGAUGUUAGCGGCGGACGGGUGAGUAACACGUGGGUAACCUGCCUGUAAGACUGGGAUAACUCCGGGAAACCGGGGCUAAUACCGGAUGCUUGUUUGAACCGCAUGGUUCAAACAUAAAAGGUGGCUUCGGCUACCACUUACAGAUGGACCCGCGGCGCAUUAGCUAGUUGGUGAGGAGACGGCUCACCAAGGCAACGAUGCGUAGCCGACCUGAGAGGGUGAUCGGCCACACUGGGACUGAGACACGGCCCAGACUCCUACGGGAGGCAGCAGUAGGGAAUCUUCCGCAAUGGACGAAAGUCUGACGGAGCAACGCCGCGUGAGUGAUGAAGGUUUUCGGAUCGUAAAGCUCUGUUGUUAGGGAAGAACAAGUACCGUUCGAAUAGGGCGGUACCUUGACGGUACCUAACCAGAAAGCCACGCUAACUACGUGCCAGCAGCCGCGGUAAUACGUAGGUGGCAAGCGUUGUCCGGAAUUAUUGGGCGUAAAGGGCUCGCAGGCGGUUCCUUAAGUUGAUGUGAAAGCCCCCGGCUCAACCGGGGAGGGUCAUUGGAAACUGGGGAACUUGAGUGCAGAAGAGGAGAGUGGAAUCUCCACGUGUAGCGGUGAAAUGCGUAGAGAUGUGGAGGAACACCAGUGGCGAAGGCGACUCUCUGGUCUGUAACUGACGCUGAGGAGCGAAAGCGUGGGGAGCGAACAGGAUUAGAUACCCUGGUAGUCCACGCCGUAAACGAUGAGUGCUAAGUGUUAGGGGGUUUCCGCCCCUUAGUGCUGCAGCUAACGCAUUAAGCACUCCGCCUGGGGAGUACGGUCGCAAGACUGAAACUCAAAGGAAUUGACGGGGGCCCGCACAAGCGGUGGAGCAUGUGGUUUAAUUCGAACGCAACGCGAAGAACCUUACCAGGUCUUGACAUCCUCUGACAAUCCUAGAGAUAGGACGUCCCCUUCGGGGGCAGAGUGACAGGUGGUGCAUGGUUGUCGUCAGCUCGUGUCGUGAGAUGUUGGGUUAAGUCCCGCAACGAGCGCAACCCUUGAUCUUAGUUGCCAGCAUUCAGUUGGGCACUCUAAGGUGACUGCCGGUGACAAACCGGAGGAAGGUGGGGAUGACGUCAAAUCAUCAUGCCCCUUAUGACCUGGGCUACACACGUGCUACA
RNAcentral lists this ribosomal RNA (1319 nucleotides) under uncultured Bacillus sp. RNAcentral describes it as "bacterial SSU rRNA". It matches the Rfam family "Bacterial small subunit ribosomal RNA", at positions 1 to 1229 of the family's 1533-position model. Lineage: Bacteria; Bacillati; Bacillota; Bacilli; Caryophanales; Bacillaceae. The record is from RNAcentral.